GAGCACGUAGGUGGGUUUGUAAGUCAGAUGUGAAAGCCUUCUGUUCAACGGAAGAAUUGCAUCUGAAACUGCGAGUCUUGAGUGUAGGAGGGGAGAAUGGAACUUCUGGUGGAGCGGUGAAAUGCGUAGAUAUCAGAAGGAACGCCGGCGGCGAAAGCGAUUCUCUGGCCUAUUACUGACACUCAGUGUGCGAAAGCUAGGGGAGCAAGCGGGAUUAGAUACCCCGGUAGUCCUAGCCGUAAACGAUGGGCACUAAGUAGAGGGGUUUU
Molecule: ribosomal RNA, 269 nt
Filed under: uncultured anaerobic ammonium-oxidizing bacterium
Lineage: Bacteria
Description: partial 16S ribosomal RNA
Rfam family: Bacterial small subunit ribosomal RNA
Source: RNAcentral